This 468-nucleotide ribosomal RNA is filed under the name uncultured bacterium. RNAcentral's name for it is "partial 16S ribosomal RNA". It matches the Rfam family "Bacterial small subunit ribosomal RNA", at positions 28 to 507 of the family's 1533-position model. The record is from RNAcentral.
GACGAACGCUGGCGGCGGGCUUAACACAUGCAAGUCGAACGGAAAGGCCGUGCUUUUGUGGGGUGCUCGAGGGGCGAACGGGUGAGGAACACGUGAGUAACCUGCCCUAGACUUUGGGAUAACUUCAGGAAACGGGGGCUAAUACCGGAUAGGAGCUCCUGCUGCAUUGUGGGGGUUGGAAAGUUUCGGCUGGCGGGGAUGGACGCGCGGCUAAUCGGUUAGUUGGUCGGGUAGUGGCUUACCAAGGCAUUGACGGAUAGCCGGCCUGGGAGGGUGACCGGCCACAUGACUACUGAGAUAGGCACCAGUCUGCAACGGGCGGCAAUGGUCGGAAGUCUUGCGCAGCGAUCGCACGCGUGUUACAGAGGCGCCCCGUUCGGAAUGACGGCCUUCGGGUUAUGAACAGCUUUCGCCUGUGACGCAGCGUGAGUGACGGUAAUGGGUAAAGAAGCACCGGCUAACUACGUG